RNAcentral lists this ribosomal RNA (447 nucleotides) under uncultured bacterium. Its description in RNAcentral is "partial 16S ribosomal RNA". It matches the Rfam family "Bacterial small subunit ribosomal RNA", at positions 29 to 523 of the family's 1533-position model. The record is from RNAcentral.
AACGAACGCUGGUGGCAGGCCUAACACAUGCAAGUCGAACGCCCCGCAAGGGGAGUGGCAGACGGGUGAGUAACACGUGGGAAUCUUCCUCGUAGUACGGAACAACUCAGGGAAACUUGAGCUAAUACCGUAUACGCCCUUCGGGGGAAAGAUUUAUCGCUAUGAGAUGAGCCCGCGUCCGAUUAGCUAGUUGGUGAGGUAAUGGCUCACCAAGGCUACGAUCGGUAGCUGGUCUGAGAGGAUGAUCAGCCACAUUGGGACUGAGACACGGCCCAAACUCCUACGGGAGGCAGCAGUGGGGAAUACUGGACAAUGGGCGCAAGCCUGAUCCAGCCAUGCCGCGUGAGUGACGAAGGCCUUAGGGUUGUAAAGCUCUUUUGGCGGGGAAGAUAAUGACGGUACCCGCAGAAUAAGCUCCGGCUAACUUCGUGCCAGCCGCCGCGGUAA